Molecule: ribosomal RNA, 497 nt
Filed under: uncultured bacterium
Lineage: Bacteria
Description: partial 16S ribosomal RNA
Rfam family: Bacterial small subunit ribosomal RNA
Source: RNAcentral
GAUGAACGCUGGCGGCGUGCCUAAUACAUGCAAGUCGAGCGAACGGACGAGAAGCUUGCUUUUCUGAUGUUAGCGGCGGACGGGUGAGUAACACGUGGAUAACCUACCUAUAAGACUGGGAUAACUUCGGGAAACCGGAGCUAAUACCGGAUAAUAUUUUGAACCGCAUGGUUCAAAAGUGAAAGACGGUCUUGCUGUCACUUAUAGAUGGAUCCGCGCUGCAUUAGCUAGUUGGUAAGGUAACGGCUUACCAAGGCAACGAUGCAUAGCCGACCUGAGAGGGUGAUCGGCCACACUGGAACUGAGACACGGUCCAGACUCCUACGGGAGGCAGCAGUAGGGAAUCUUCAGCAAUGGGCGAAAGACUGACGGAGCAACGCCGCGUGAGUGAUGAAGGUCUUCGGAUCGUAAAACUCUGUUAUUAGGGAAGAACAUAUGUGUAAGUAACUGUGCACAUCUUGACGGUACCUAAUCAGAAAGCCACGGCUAACUACGUG